This 503-nucleotide ribosomal RNA is filed under the name uncultured bacterium. RNAcentral's name for it is "partial 16S ribosomal RNA". It matches the Rfam family "Bacterial small subunit ribosomal RNA", at positions 30 to 523 of the family's 1533-position model. The record is from RNAcentral.
AUUGAACGCUGGCGGCAGGCUUAACACAUGCAAGUCGAGCGGGGUGAUGGUGCUUGCACUAUCACUUAGCGGCGGACGGGUGAGUAAUGCUUAGGAAUCUGCCUAUUAGUGGGGGACAACAUCUCGAAAGGGAUGCUAAUACCGCAUACGUCCUACGGGAGAAAGCAGGGGAUCACUUGUGACCUUGCGCUAAUAGAUGAGCCUAAGUCGGAUUAGCUAGUUGGUGGGGUAAAGGCCUACCAAGGCGACGAUCUGUAGCGGGUCUGAGAGGAUGAUCGGCGAGACUGGGACUGAGACACGGCCCAGACUCCUACGUGAGGCAGCAGUGGGGAAUAUUGGACAAUGGGGGGAACCCUGAUCCAGCCAUGCCGCGUGUGUGAAGAAGGCCUUAUGGUUGUAAAGCACUUUAAGCGAGGAGGAGGCUCUUUUGGUUAAUACCCAAGAUGAGUGGACGUUACUCGCAGAAUAAGCACCGGCUAACUCUGUGCCAGCCGCCGCGGUAA